RNAcentral lists this ribosomal RNA (270 nucleotides) under uncultured prokaryote. RNAcentral's name for it is "partial 16S ribosomal RNA". It matches the Rfam family "Bacterial small subunit ribosomal RNA", at positions 524 to 794 of the family's 1533-position model. The record is from RNAcentral.
UACGUAGGGGCGAGCGUUGUCCGGAUUUACUGGGCGUAAAGGGAGCGUAGGCGGACUUUUAAGUGAGAUGUGAAAUACCCGGGCUCAACUUGGGUGCUGCAUUUCAAACUGGAAGUCUAGAGUGCAGGAGAGGAGAAUGGAAUUCCUAGUGUAGCGGUGAAAUGCGUAGAUAUUAGGAGGAACACCAGUUGCGAAGGCGGCUCUCUGGACUGUAACUGACACUGAGGCACGAAAGCGUGGGGAGCAAACAGGAUUAGAUACCCGGGUAGU